RNAcentral lists this non-coding RNA (194 nucleotides) under Desulfotomaculum sp. Its description in RNAcentral is "Lysine sequence". It matches the Rfam family "Lysine riboswitch aptamer". Rfam says of the family: Riboswitches are metabolite binding domains within certain messenger RNAs that serve as precision sensors for their corresponding targets. Allosteric rearrangement of mRNA structure is mediated by ligand binding, and this results in modulation of gene expression. Lineage: Bacteria; Bacillati; Bacillota; Clostridia; Eubacteriales; Desulfotomaculaceae. The record is from RNAcentral.
GGGUGAGGUAGAGGAGCGGGCUGCAAGAGUAAGUUUGUCUUUUAUAUCCGGCAAUGUGUUUAGGGCAAAAAGAAAGGGCAUCCCGCCGAAGUCCGAAAGCUGCCGGGGUUUUUGGGCUGGGUCGGCGCCGAAAAGACGCCGGACUGUUACCGCGGCAAACAAACCUCAUUGCCCGGUGGAGCGCUAUCUCAGGU